This 400-nucleotide ribosomal RNA is filed under the name uncultured bacterium. RNAcentral's name for it is "bacterial SSU rRNA". It matches the Rfam family "Bacterial small subunit ribosomal RNA", at positions 355 to 769 of the family's 1533-position model. The record is from RNAcentral.
UGGGGAAUAUUGGGCAAUGGGGGAAACCCUGACCCAGCAACGCCGCGUGAAGGAUGAAGGCCUUCGGGUUGUAAACUUCUUUGACCGGGGACGAAAACAAUGACGGUACCCGGGGAACAAGCCACGGCUAACUACGUGCCAGCAGCCGCGGUAAUACGUAGGUGGCGAGCGUUGUCCGGAAUUACUGGGUGUAAAGGGCGCGUAGGCGGAUCUGCAAGUCGGAUGUGAAAUUCCCGGGCUCAACCCGGGCGCUGCACCCGAAACUGCGGAUCUGGAGUGCCGGAGAGGAAAGCGGAAUUCCCAGUGUAGCGGUAAAAUGCGUAGAGAUUGGGAGGAACACCAGUGGCGAAGGCGGCUUUCUGGACGGUAACUGACGCUGAGGCGCGAAAGCGUGGGGAGC